GUCCUUGUAGCUUAAACAAAGCAUAACACUGAAGAUGUUAAGACGGCUGCCAAACACACCCAAGGACA
This 68-nucleotide transfer RNA is filed under the name Sakesphorus luctuosus. Its description in RNAcentral is "tRNA-Phe". It matches the Rfam family "tRNA". Rfam says of the family: Transfer RNA (tRNA) molecules are approximately 80 nucleotides in length. Their secondary structure includes four short double-helical elements and three loops (D, anti-codon, and T loops). Further hydrogen bonds mediate the characteristic L-shaped molecular structure. tRNAs have two regions of fundamental functional importance: the anti-codon, which is responsible for specific mRNA codon recognition, and the 3' end, to which the tRNAs corresponding amino acid is attached (by aminoacyl-tRNA synthetases). tRNAs cope with the degeneracy of the genetic code in two manners: having more than one tRNA (with a specific anti-codon) for a particular amino acid; and 'wobble' base-pairing, i.e. permitting non-standard base-pairing at the 3rd anti-codon position. The record is from RNAcentral. Lineage: Eukaryota; Metazoa; Chordata; Aves; Passeriformes; Thamnophilidae.